This is a small nuclear RNA of Mustela erminea (ermine), 192 nucleotides long. RefSeq annotates it as U2 spliceosomal RNA. The record is from RefSeq and is a predicted model, not a curated record. Lineage: Eukaryota; Metazoa; Chordata; Mammalia; Carnivora; Mustelidae. The transcript has a single exon.
AUCGCUUCUCGGCCUUUUGGCUAAGAUCAAGUGUAGUAUCUGUUCUUAUCAGUUUAAUACACGUCAUCAUCAUGUAUGCCAUUUUUAUGAAGGAGAGGAUUAAUGGACAAAAUGAAUGAGUUAUGUUAUAUUUUGUCAUAAAAAUAAAAUAAUAAAAUAAAUUAAAAUCCUGGCAGUUGACUGAGAACACAG